RNAcentral lists this ribosomal RNA (230 nucleotides) under Microbacterium aurantiacum. RNAcentral describes it as "partial 16S ribosomal RNA". It matches the Rfam family "Bacterial small subunit ribosomal RNA", at positions 202 to 434 of the family's 1533-position model. Lineage: Bacteria; Bacillati; Actinomycetota; Actinomycetes; Micrococcales; Microbacteriaceae. The record is from RNAcentral.
GAAAGAUUUUUCGGUUUGGGAUGGGCUCGCGGCCUAUCAGCUUGUUGGUGAGGUAAUGGCUCACCAAGGCGACGACGGGUAGCCGGCCUGAGAGGGUGACCGGCCACACUGGGACUGAGACACGGCCCAGACUCCUACGGGAGGCAGCAGUGGGGAAUAUUGCACAAUGGGCGGAAGCCUGAUGCAGCGACGCCGCGUGAGGGAUGACGGCCUUCGGGUUGUAAACCUCU